This 253-nucleotide ribosomal RNA is filed under the name uncultured bacterium. RNAcentral's name for it is "partial 16S ribosomal RNA". It matches the Rfam family "Bacterial small subunit ribosomal RNA", at positions 524 to 776 of the family's 1533-position model. The record is from RNAcentral.
UACGUAGGGGGCAAGCGUUGUCCGGAUUUAUUGGGCGUAAAGAGCGUGUAGGCGGUUCGGUAGGUCCGUUGUGAAAACUCGAGGCUCAACCUCGAGACGCCGAUGGAAACCCCCGAACUAGAGUCCGGAAGAGGAGAGUGGAAUUCCCGGUGUAGCGGUGAAAUGCGCAGAUAUCGGGAAGAACACCCGUGGCUAAGGCGGCUCUCUGGGCCGAUACUGACGCUGAGGAGCGAAAGCGUGGGGAGCGAACAGG